AUAACCGCUGAAAGCAUCUAAGCGGGAAGCCUGCUUCAAGAUGAGGUAUCCCACCCUACUUUGUGGGGGUAAGGCCCCCAGCUAGACGACUGGGUUGAUAGGCCGGAGAUGUAAGCUCGGUAACGGGUUGAGUUGACCGGUACUAAUAGGCCGAGGACUUGACUA
This 165-nucleotide ribosomal RNA is filed under the name Micromonospora haikouensis. RNAcentral describes it as "23S rRNA. Bacterial LSU". It matches the Rfam family "Bacterial large subunit ribosomal RNA", at positions 2764 to 2925 of the family's 2925-position model. Lineage: Bacteria; Bacillati; Actinomycetota; Actinomycetes; Micromonosporales; Micromonosporaceae. The record is from RNAcentral.